Molecule: ribosomal RNA, 308 nt
Filed under: uncultured bacterium
Lineage: Bacteria
Description: partial 16S ribosomal RNA
Rfam family: Bacterial small subunit ribosomal RNA
Source: RNAcentral
GAGACAGCAGUCGCCACGGUAAUACGUAGGUGGCGAGCGUUGUCCGGAAUUAUUGGGCGUAAAGCGCGCGCAGGCGGCCUAUCCAGUCUGUCUUAAAAGUUCGGGGCUCAACCCCGUGAUGGGAUGGAAACUAGUAGGCUAGAGUAUCGGAGAGGAAAGCGGAAUUCCUAGUGUAGCGGUGAAAUGCGUAGAUAUUAGGAAGAACACCAGUGGCGAAGGCGGCUUUCUGGACGAAAACUGACGCUGAGGCGCGAAAGCUAGGGGAGCGAACGGGAUUAGAUACCCCCGUAGUCCCUGUCUCUUAUACA